GCGGACGGGUGAGUAACACGUGAGUAACCUGCCUCAAAGAGGGGGAUAGCCUUCCGAAAGGAAGAUUAAUACCGCAUAAUAUACAGAGAUCACAUGUUCUUUGUAUCAAAGGAGCAAUCCGCUUUGAGAUGGACUCGCGGCGCAUUAGCUAGUUGGUAGGGUAACGGCCUACCAAGGCGACGAUGCGUAGCCGACCUGAGAGGGUGAUCGGCCACAUUGGGACUGAGACACGGCCCAGACUCCUACGGGAGGCAGCAGUGGGGAAUAUUGCGCAAUGGGCGAAAGCCUGACGCAGCAACGCCGCGUGGGUGAUGACGGUCUUCGGAUUGUAAAACCCUGUCUUCAGGGACGAUAAUGACGGUACCUGAGGAGGAAGCCACGGCUAACUACGUGCCAGCAG
RNAcentral lists this ribosomal RNA (400 nucleotides) under uncultured bacterium. RNAcentral's name for it is "bacterial SSU rRNA". It matches the Rfam family "Bacterial small subunit ribosomal RNA", at positions 98 to 514 of the family's 1533-position model. The record is from RNAcentral.